CACGUAGGCGGCUCGGCAAACCGGUCGUGGAAUCCCGACGCUUACCGUCGGAACGGCGGCCGAAAAUACCGGGCUCGAGGGCGUGAGGGGUCACUGGAACUCCUGGUGAAGCGGUGAAAUACGUAGAUAUCAGGAGGAACGCCGGAGGCGAAAGCGAGUGACUGGCGCGUUCCUGACGCUGAGGUGCGAAAGCUAGGGGAGCAAACA
RNAcentral lists this ribosomal RNA (207 nucleotides) under uncultured bacterium. RNAcentral describes it as "partial 16S ribosomal RNA". It matches the Rfam family "Bacterial small subunit ribosomal RNA", at positions 568 to 774 of the family's 1533-position model. The record is from RNAcentral.